CCUACGGGAGGCAGCAGUGGGGAAUAAUGCACAAUGGGGGAAACCCUGAUGCAGCGACGCCGCGUGAGUGAGGAAGUAUUUCGGUAUGUAAAGCUCUAUCAGCAGGGAAGAAAAUGACGGUACCUGACUAAGAAGCCCCGGCUAACUACGUGCCAGCAGCCGCGGUAAUACGUAGGGGGCAAGCGUUAUCCGGAUUUACUGGGUGUAAAGGGAGCGUAGACGGCUAAUCAAGUCAGAAGUGAAAACCCAGGGCUCAACCUUGGGACUGCUUUUGAAACUGAGUAGCUAGAGUGGAGGAGAGGUAAGCGGAAUGCCUAGUGUAGCGGUGAAAUGCGUAGAUAUUAGGAAGAACACCAGUGGCGAAGGCGGCGUACUGGACUGUAACUGACGUUGAGGCUCGAAAGCGUGGGGAGCAAACAGGAUUAGAUACCCGGGUAGUC
RNAcentral lists this ribosomal RNA (440 nucleotides) under uncultured bacterium. RNAcentral's name for it is "partial 16S ribosomal RNA". It matches the Rfam family "Bacterial small subunit ribosomal RNA", at positions 338 to 795 of the family's 1533-position model. The record is from RNAcentral.